This is a long non-coding RNA of Oncorhynchus tshawytscha (Chinook salmon), 4875 nucleotides long. Lineage: Eukaryota; Metazoa; Chordata; Actinopteri; Salmoniformes; Salmonidae. The record is from Ensembl.
GAGUGAUAUCACCUCUAAUACAGCUGACCUGAGUGAUAUCACCUCUAAUACAGCUGACCUGAGUGAUAUCACCUCUAAUACAGCUGACCUGAGGGCCAGUUUGUUGGUGCCGUCAUGCAACUACCUCUCAUUGUCAUGCCAAAUACAGGGAUCUGCCUAAAUCUAGGAAAACCCAAUAUACAGGGUGGGUUGCACCAACAUGGAGGAACUCUUAAGCCUUCAUUUAACCCAGUUUCAUCUUCAUCUUGUUGCACCAAACUUUAAAUCUAUUUUUAAAUGAAUCCUAGUUAAAAUGAAUCCUUCUUCUAAUCAUAAGUUUUAGUUUUCACUUUAAACCUAGAGUCAUUUUAAGCUUGAAUAUAAACUUAGAUUGGAGAUUCUGAACUGCCAUUUGAUGUGGUUGAACUGAUAAAAUGACAGGAUAUCGACUGUGGAGAGACCAGAACGACAGAGUUCCUCAGAGAACAUUACGAGACAGGUUGUAUCCUGUUGAGUUUUUUUUAUAAUGAUGAGUUUUCAAGGAGAUGCCGCUUCUCCAAGGAAUCUGUAAUGCAACUGGAAAGAAAGGUUGGACCAAGCGUGGGAACGACGGUAACGAGGAUGUACCCCUACUACUUCAGCUCCUGAUGACUCUACGGUUCUAUGUAACUGGAUGUUUCCAGAUGGUGGAUGGAUGUGGACCUUUCUGGACUCCACAAGUCAACCGUCUACAGGAUUGUAGUGUCCAGUGCUUUUGCCGGCCUGAAGAACGAGUACAUCAGGUUCAGUCCUACAGAGGAAACAGCAGCUGGAUUUUGAGAUGAAAGCUAGAUUCCCGUGUGUACUAUGGGCAAUAGACUGGACACACAUUCCUAUUCCGAACCCUGGUGGUGGGAAUGGAGAACUAUUCUGUAAUCAGAAAGGUUACUGCUCCGUCAACAUGCAGGCUGUCUGUGAUGUCAAAGGUCAGCUCACCAACAUCCUAGCAAGACGGCCAGGAUCCACCCAUGACAGCAGAUACUUUGACAAUAGUCGUCUGUGUGCAAUGCUGGAACGGGGAGCAUAUGAAGGCCCCCUACUACGUAACAAUGGAUAUUCUUGUCAUGGGAACCUUAUGACUCCCCUUUUAAACCCCCAGACACCUGAAGAGAGACAAUCCACCACCUCAUAUCCUGACAAGAGAUCUCAUAGAGAGAGAAUGCACCACCUCUCAUAUCCUGACAAGAGAUCUCAUAGAGAGAGAACACACCACCUCUCAUAUCCUGACAAUAGAUUUCAUAGAGAGAGAACACACCACCUCUCAUAUCCUGACAAGAGAUCUCAUAGAGUUUUUGUAGUAUGGAAGAAAAGAUUCCCUCCCCUACAGGUGGUGCUCUGCAUGAAGAUGGACACUACACUGACAAUCACUAUUGCAGUGGAAGUUCUGUAUAACUUUAGCAAGAGACAAGGAGACAAGCUACCUGAGGAGGCUGAGGAGGACCUACCUGAGGAGGAUGAGGAGAAUGGAGAAGAUGGCCAGGUGCAACAUGCUGUUGAUGUGAAUGCGAUGAGGAGAACUUUGAUUGAGAACCAUUUUUGCAGCCUAACAUGUGUGUGUAUAGUGUAACAUGUAAAAAGCAAUAUUAUAUUUUGACUGACGUGCAAUUCUUAAUAAGACUAUCUGUAUUAAAAUGCAUUAUUAAGUCAUUUGUUAUUCUCGAUCAUAAAGGGGGGAACUGGAAGCACCAGAACAUGAGUGGGGGCACCACAUUGCUAGGGAAAGCAUUGUUUUAAUAAAUAACAAGAUUAGCAUUCUUUCCACAUUUGUUCCCCUGAAGGCGUUUCUGUUUCUGAAUUCGCAGUAGCUCUUUUUUGUAAACUCAGAAUCUCAGUCUGCGGAAUAUUUUUCUCUCCCUCCUGCGCCAAAACAUCAAUAUGAGCUGUUUUAGUCUUGGGUUCUGGGGGCGUUCGAUUGGCCCGGCUAGUUCAAGAUCCAGGCAUUGCUGUUUCUCUACGACAACAGGGUGUCGGCUCAACUGAAGAGAAUCAACUCCUUAUUAGAACUUACCUUCCCAUUUUGUAAUUGAAUUAGAGCUUGUGAUACACCUUGGUAGAAUGAUGACGUUAUGCAACAUGCUGUAACGGGACUGAGAACAGUAACAUUCUAGUGAAAUACUAUUAGCGUUAGUUUCAGUGGUGGAAAAAGUCAUUUCACACUGUUGUAAAAGUAAUGAUAUCUUAAUAGAAAAUAACUCCAGUAAAAGUCAGCCAGUAAAAUACUACUUGAGUAAAAAGUCAAAAGUAUUUGGUUUUAAAUGUUCUUAAGUAUCAAAAGUAAAAGUAUGAAUUAUUUAAUGUUCCUUACAUUAAGAAAUCCAGAUGGCACGGUUUUAUUACAUACAUACAUUGACAGUUUGCCAGUGUCACACUCCAACACUCAGACAUCAUUUACAAAUGAAACAUUUGUGUUUAGUGAGUCUGCCAGAUCAGAUGCAGUGGGGAUGACCAGGGGAUGUUCUCUCGAUAAGUGCCCGAAUUGGACCAGGUUCCUGUCCUGCUAAGUAUUCAAGAAAAUGUAUGGAGUAAAAUGUUGUUUAAGUCUUUUCUUUAGGAAUGUAGUGAAGUAAAAAUAAAAGUUGUCCAAUAUAUAAAUAGUAAAGUACAGAUACCCAAAAAACUGACUUAAGUAGUACUUUAAUAUAUUUUAACUUAAGUACUUUACACCACUGGGUAGUUUUGACAUGCAUUGUAGUCAUUGAUGUUAACCAGUUAUUUAUGCUUACUAAAUAUUGGUGGGACUAGUUGUCCGUUGUCAUCAUAGGGUUAACUGUUCGGGUAUCAUCACAUAUGUCCUGAGAGAGAGACUGUGGUCUGAAAUAUCUUCCGCCUCUCAUCUGCUGCAUUAUUUUUGGCUUUCGCUUUGAAGUUUUUCCCAGCAGCCUUCAUCUGAUUUGUGUCCCUCUCCUCUUUCAUGUCAAUCAUUUAAAUAUGUCGCAUAAAACAGCCCAGGUGUCGUCUUUCAUCCUCCAGUACGUUACUAAAUUCCUCCAUCAGCUCAGUACGUUACUAAAACUAAGUUUACAUACACCUUAGCCAAAUACAUCUAAACUUAGUUUUUCACAAUUCCUGACAUUUAAUCCUAGUAAAAAUCACUUUAUUUUAAGAACAUGAAAUGUCAGAAUAAUAGUAGAGAGAAUGUGGGUCAGAAGUUUACAUACACUCAAUUAGUAUUUGGUAGCAUUGCCUUUAAAUUGUUUAACUUGGGUCAAACAUUUUGGUUAGCCUUCCACAAGCUUCCCACAAUAAAUUGGGUGAAUUUUGGCCCAUUCCUCCUGACAGAGCUGGUGUAACCGAGUCAAGUUUGCAAGGCCUCCUUGCUUGUACACUUUCAGCUCUGCCCACAAAUGUUCUAUAGGAUUGAGGUCAGGGCUUUGUGAUGGACACUCCACUCCAGGUCAGGGCUUUGUGAUGGACACUCCACUCCAGGUCAGGGCUUUGUGAUGGACACUCGACUCCAGGUCAGGGCUUUGUGAUGGACACUCCAGGUCAAGGCUUUGUGAUGGACACUCCACUCCAGGGCUUUGUGAUGGACACUCCACUCCAGGUCAGGGCUUUGUGAUGGACACUCCACUCCAGGUCAGGGCUUUGUGAUGGACACUCCAGGUCAGGGCUUUGUGAUUGGCACUCCACUCCAGAUCAGGGCUUUGUGGUGGACACUCCACACUCUGAUGCCUAUCAGAAGCUUUUAAAGCCAUGACAUCAUUUUCUGGAAUUUUCCAAGCUGUUUAAAGGCACAGUCAACUUAGUGUAUGUAAACUUCUGAUCCACUGGAAUUGUGAUACAGUGAAUUAUAAGUGAAAUAAUCUGUUUGGAAACAAUAGGACAAAUUACUUGUCAUGCACAAAGUAGAUGUCCUAACCGACUUACCAAAACUAUAGUUUGUUAAGAAGAAAUUUGUGGAGUGGUUGAAAAAUAAUUUUUAUUGACUCCAACCUGAGUGUAUGUAAACUUAUGACUUCAACUGUAUAUGCUGUGUAUAGAGCCCCACAUUGGAGGUGUGAUAAUACCCAUACAACCUAGCGGUGAAACAGAGAAAUGGUUCCAGUCUAUUUUCCACCAUUCAUUCUUCCCAUUGGGGAUAGUUAGAAACACUUAAAAUAAGGUCUGUGUUUCAUGUAGGCUUACCCUGGCGUGACAUUUUAUUAACCUGUAAAUCUCUCUUGGACAAGAUUACUUUUAUCAAUAUAUUUGGCUCUAUUUACUCUCAGAUUUGAAAACACUAAUUAGCAUCAAAGUAGAGAUCGUGAAAAACUACAAAUACAUGUUCCUGCACGUCAUCUCUAGCUGACACCAGGUACAUAACAGGUAUUAUGGAAAUUUCAAACUUGCACAAGACAGUUCACAGAAUUGCAGGAAAUAAACUUUAAAACAGAUGUUUUUUUCUCUCCAACGUCAGGAGGGGGGGGCACUAAAAUAUUUUGCAGUGAGGUAGUGGGGCCCCCAAAAGGCUACUGCCGGCCCUGGAGAUCUGGAUACAAUGCAGCUAGAUAAUAAACUAACGAAGCAGCUGGAAGAAAUACUGGUGGCUAUGACAGAAGCCAAACGUGAGUUGGCUUGGGGGUGUGGUUUGACGUCCUUGCCACCACCAAGACACACCCAUCUGUCAGAACCUUGCCUGCAGCUGUUUCCUCCCCACUCAUUCACAACAAACAAACCUCCUGUAGAUUCAGUUCAAUAACUACAGGCAGAUGUAUGGUGAGAUGCCAGAGGAAGCUUUGACUAGGUCAGUAGUCUACAGAGUAAUAUGAGAAGAAUGCAAUUGUUGAAUUUAUGUAGAUAUUCUAAACUAAGUGUUUUGAUAACUUUCAAUUGUAGUAACAGCUCCAUGUAGAAUAAACAAGCCUUUACAUAAAACCA